AACGAACGCUGGCGGCAUGCCUAACACAUGCAAGUCGAACGAGACCUUCGGGUCUAGUGGCGCACGGGUGCGUAACGCGUGGGAACCUGCCCUUAGGUUCGGCAUAACUCCCCGAAAGGGGUGCUAAUACCGGACAAUGUCUACGGCCCAAAGAUUUAUCGCCUUUGGAUGGGCCCGCGUUGGAUUAGCUAGUUGGUAGGGUAAAAGCCUACCAAGGCGACGAUCCAUAGCUGGUCUGAGAGGAUGAUCAGCCACACUGGGACUGAGACACGGCCCAGACUCCUACGGGAGGCAGCAGUGGGGAAUAUUGGACAAUGGGCGAAAGCCUGAUCCAGCAAUGCCGCGUGAGUGAUGAAGGCCUUAGGGUUGUAAAGCUCUUUUACCCGGGAUGAUAAUGACAGUACCGGGAGAAUAAGCUCCGGCUAACUCCGUG
RNAcentral lists this ribosomal RNA (433 nucleotides) under uncultured bacterium. RNAcentral's name for it is "partial 16S ribosomal RNA". It matches the Rfam family "Bacterial small subunit ribosomal RNA", at positions 29 to 507 of the family's 1533-position model. The record is from RNAcentral.